UAGGGAAUCUUCCACGAUGGGCGAAAGCCUGAUGGAGCAACGCCGCGUGAGUGAAGAAGGGUUUCGGCUCGUAAAACUCUGUUGUUAAAGAAGAACAUAUCUGAGAGUAACUGUUCAGGUAUUGACGGUAUUUAACCAGAAAGCCACGGCUAACUACGUGCCAG
RNAcentral lists this ribosomal RNA (164 nucleotides) under uncultured bacterium. Its description in RNAcentral is "partial 16S rRNA". It matches the Rfam family "Bacterial small subunit ribosomal RNA", at positions 355 to 511 of the family's 1533-position model. The record is from RNAcentral.